Molecule: ribosomal RNA, 432 nt
Filed under: uncultured bacterium
Lineage: Bacteria
Description: bacterial SSU rRNA
Rfam family: Bacterial small subunit ribosomal RNA
Source: RNAcentral
CGGCGCGCCUAACACAUGCAAGUCGAAUGAUUACAUGGCGGACGGCUGAGUAUCACGUUGGUACCUGCCUCAGACUCGGGGAUACCCCCUGGAAACGGGGAUUAAUACCCGAUAGUUCUCUUCGGAGUAAAGCUUUCGCGGUCUGAGAGGGGCCUGCGCCCGAUUAGCUUGUUGGUGAGGUAACGGCUCACCAAGGCAACGAUCGGUAGGUGGUCUGAGAGGAUGAUCACCCAGACUGGGACUGAGACACGGCCCAGACUCCUACGGGAGGCAGCAGUGAGGAAUCUUGCACAAUGGGGGAAACCCUGAUGCAGCGACGCCGCGUGGGGGAAGAAGGCCUUCGGGUUGUAAACUCCUUUUAUUCGGGACGAACAUUGACGGUACCGAAUGAAUAAGGACUGGCUAACCAUGUGCCAGCAGCCGCCGUAAAAC